GAUGAACGCUGACAGAAUGCUUAACACAUGCAAGUCUUUGGCGAAGCUGUGCUUGCACAGCCUAGCCAAGGCGGACGGGUGAGUAACGCGUAAGGAACUUGCCCUGCAGUCAGGGAUAACAGACGGAAACGACUGAUAAGACCUGGUAAAGUCAGGCGGACUCAUGUCCAGCCUGAUGAAAAGAGAUGCUGCAGGAGAGCCUUGCGUCCUAUUAGCUUGUUGGUGGGGUAACGGCCCACCAAGGCGAUGAUAGGUAGCCGGCCUGAGAGGGUGGACGGCCACAAGGGGACUGAGAUACGGCACUUACUCCUGCGGGAGGCAGCAGUGGGGAAUAGUGGACAAUGGGGGCAACCCUGAUCCAGCAAUUCUGUGUGCACGAUGAAGGUUUUCGGAUUGUAAAGUGCUUUCAGCAGGGAAGAAAAAAAUGACGGUACCUGCAGAAGAAGCGACGGCUAAAUACGUG
RNAcentral lists this ribosomal RNA (463 nucleotides) under uncultured bacterium. RNAcentral describes it as "partial 16S ribosomal RNA". It matches the Rfam family "Bacterial small subunit ribosomal RNA", at positions 28 to 507 of the family's 1533-position model. The record is from RNAcentral.